Long non-coding RNA from Ipomoea nil (Japanese morning glory), 131 nucleotides. RefSeq lists it as uncharacterized. The record is from RefSeq and is a predicted model, not a curated record. The transcript has 2 exons. NCBI's taxonomy places the organism in Eukaryota, Viridiplantae, Streptophyta, Magnoliopsida, Solanales, Convolvulaceae.
UUAACCUAUGUGUAUUUAUCGUAAAACAAAGUGCAUUUAAACUUCUAGUUUUUUGUUCAUGUAAUCAUGUCUAUUUAGGCCAAGAAGAUUGGAAUUUGAAUUAAAACAAGUGUUUCGAUUGGGCAUAUUUA